This 249-nucleotide ribosomal RNA is filed under the name uncultured bacterium. RNAcentral's name for it is "partial 16S ribosomal RNA". It matches the Rfam family "Bacterial small subunit ribosomal RNA", at positions 523 to 769 of the family's 1533-position model. The record is from RNAcentral.
AUACGUAGGUGGCGAGCGUUAUCCGGAAUUAUUGGGCGUAAAGAGCGCGCAGGUGGUUGAUUAAGUCUGAUGUGAAAGCCCACGGCUUAACCGUGGAGGGUCAUUGGAAACUGGUCGACUUGAGUGCAGAAGAGGGAAGUGGAAUUCCAUGUGUAGCGGUAGAAAUGCGUAGAGAUAUGGAGGAACACCAGUGGCGAAGGCGGCUUCCCGGUCUGUAACUGACACUGAGGCGCGAAAGCGGUGGGGAGC